UACGGGAGGCAGCAGUGGGGAAUAUUGCACAAUGGGCGAAAGCCUGAUGCAGCUAUGCCGCGUGUAUGAAGAAGGCCUUAGGGUUGUAAAGUACUUUCAUCGGGGAGGAAAAACAAAACUAAUAAUUUUAUUUCUUGACGUUACCCGAAAAAGAAGCACCGGCUAACUCCGUGCCAGCAGCCGCGGUAAUACGGAGGGUGCUAGCGUUAAUCAGAAUUACUGGGCGUAAAGAGCACGUAGGUGGUUUUUUUAAGUCAGAUGUGAAAUCCCUGGGCUUAACCUAGGAACUGCAUUUUGAAACUGAAAUACUAGAGUAUCGUAGAGGGAGGUAGAAUUCUAGGUGUAGCGGUGAAAUGCGUAGAUAUCUGGAGGAAUACCUGUGGCGAAAGCGGCCUCCUAAAUGAAUACUGACACUGAGGUGCGAAAGCGUGGGGAGCAAACAGGGAUUAGAUACC
RNAcentral lists this ribosomal RNA (455 nucleotides) under uncultured bacterium. RNAcentral describes it as "bacterial SSU rRNA". It matches the Rfam family "Bacterial small subunit ribosomal RNA", at positions 340 to 786 of the family's 1533-position model. The record is from RNAcentral.